GACGAGUUACAGAAGGAAUUUCCCCAUCUCUUUGCAGGAUCUUCCGAAUCUCGAGGACAAGAUUCUUCUUAAGGGGGUAGGAUUUGUAACACCCAAAAUUUUGAAUAAUUCAAAUUCAUUAAAAUUUUGCUCAAAUUAGGGUGUCAUUUAAAUUCUAGGCAUUUAAUUUCAUUUUCUUUAAUUUAAUUAAAUUCAUCAUAAGAGUUAAUUGUGCAUUCAUGCUGGUGCAUUUAUUUUGAUUGCUUGAGUUUGAAUCAAAAUUUGAAUUUCCAAAUUUAAAUUUGAUUUCCCAAAACCUUUUUCCUUUUCUUUUUCUUUUUCCUUUUCUUCUUCUUCUCCUGGGCCGCAAUCUUCUUUUCCUUCCCUUUCCCCUUCUUCUUUCGGCCCAGCCGAGCUGCAGCUCCUCCGGCCGCUCCACCUUUUCACCGGCCCAGCUUCCUUCCCGCGCGGCCCAACCGCAGCUACCCCGCCGGCCCUCUUCUUUCUCUUUGCCGGCCCAGCAUCCCACACGGCCUGCCGCUCGCCCUCUUCUCCGCGGCCCGCGAACGCGCGCCGGCCCAUCGCGGUCGCCUACCGCCUGCAGUCAUCGACGGGUGGGGCCACCCGUCAUCUCCUUCCUCCGGCCGGACUCUCCUCCGCCCGCAACCACCGCGCGAGAUCUCCGGGUGGGUGCCGCUGUCCCCGGCCGAUUUGAAUCCGGGGCCGCUCUAUCCCUUGACGCGCA
Molecule: long non-coding RNA, 724 nt
Filed under: Setaria viridis
Lineage: Eukaryota; Viridiplantae; Streptophyta; Magnoliopsida; Poales; Poaceae
Description: long non-coding RNA (SVIR_LNC008036)
Source: RNAcentral